RNAcentral lists this ribosomal RNA (857 nucleotides) under uncultured bacterium. RNAcentral describes it as "SSU rRNA". It matches the Rfam family "Bacterial small subunit ribosomal RNA", at positions 524 to 1381 of the family's 1533-position model. The record is from RNAcentral.
UACGGAGGAUGCAAGCGUUAUCCGGAAUGAUUGGGCGUAAAGAGUCCGUAGGUGGCCCUUCAAGUCUGCUGUUAAAGAGCGAGGCUUAACUUCGGAAAAGCAGUGGAAACUGGAGAGCUAGAGUGUAGUAGGGGCAGAGGGAAUUCCUGGUGUAGCGGUGAAAUGCGUAGAGAUCAGGAAGAACACCGGUGGCGAAAGCGCUCUGCUGGGCUACAACUGACACUGAGGGACGAAAGCUAGGGGAGCGAAUGGGAUUAGAUACCCCAGUAGUCCUAGCGGUAAACGAUGGAAACUAGGUGUGGCCUGUAUCGACCCGGGCCGUGCCGGAGCAAACGCGUUAAGUUUCCCGCCUGGGGAGUACGCACGCAAGUGUGAAACUCAAAGGAAUUGACGGGGGCCCGCACAAGCGGUGGAGUAUGUGGUUUAAUUCGAUGCAACGCGAAGAACCUUACCAGGACUUGACAUCUCUGGAAUCCGUCUGAAAGGGUGGAGUGCCUUAGGGAACCAGAAGACAGGUGCUGCAUGGCUGUCGUCAGCUCGUGUCGUGAGAUGUUGGGUUAAGUCCCGCAACGAGCGCAACCCUCGUCGUUAGUUGCCAUCAUUAAGUUGGGAACUCUAGCGAGACUGCCGGUGACAAACCGGAGGAAGGUGAGGAUGACGUCAAGUCAGCAUGGCCCUUACGUCCUGGGCGACACACGUACUACAAUGCUAAGGGCAGAGAGCAGCCAACCCGCGAGGGAGAGCGAAUCUCAUAAACCUUGGCACAGUUCAGAUUGAAGCUUGCAACUCAGCUUCAUGAAGGAGGAAUCGCUAGUAAUCGCAGGUCAGCACACUGCGGUGAAUCCGUUCCCGGGCCU